RNAcentral lists this ribosomal RNA (500 nucleotides) under uncultured bacterium. RNAcentral's name for it is "partial 16S ribosomal RNA". It matches the Rfam family "Bacterial small subunit ribosomal RNA", at positions 30 to 523 of the family's 1533-position model. The record is from RNAcentral.
AUUGAACGCUGGCGGCAUGCCUUAUACAUGCAAGUCGAACGGCAGCACGGGAGCAAUCCUGGUGGCGAGUGGCGAACGGGUGAGUAAAGUAUCGGAACGUGCCCAGUCGUGGGGGAUAACGUAGCGAAAGUUACGCUAAUACCGCAUACGACCUAUGGAUGAAAGCGGGGGAUCGCAAGACCUCGCGCGAUUGGAGCGGCCGAUAUCAGAUUAGGUAGUUGGUGGGGUAAAGGCUCACCAAGCCGACGAUCUGUAGCUGGUCUGAGAGGACGACCAGCAACACUGGGACUGAGACACGGCGCAGACUCCUACGGGAGGCAUCAGUGGGGAAUUUUGGACAAUGGGCGCAAGCCUGAUCCGGCCAUGGCGCGUGCAGGAUGAAGGCGUUCGGGUUGUAAACUGCUUUUGUACGGAACGAAAAGGUUUGACCUAAUACGUUGGACUCAAGACGGUACCGUAAGAAUAAGCACCGGCUAACUACGUGCCAGCCGCCGCCGUAA